CCCCCAGUAGCGGCGAGCGAACGGGGAGGAGCCCAGAGCCUGAAUCAGCAUGUGUGUUAGUGGAAGCGUCUGGAAAGGCGCGCGAUACAGGGUGACAGCCCCGUACACAAAAGCGCAUGUGCUGUGAGCUCGAUGAGUAGGGCGGGACACGUGGUAUCCUGUCUGAAUAUGGGGGGACCAUCCUCCAAGGCUAAAUACUCCUGACUGACCGAUAGUGAACCAGUACCGUGAGGGAAAGGCGAAAAGAACCCCGGCGAGGGGAGUGAAAAAGAACCUGAAACCGU
RNAcentral lists this ribosomal RNA (284 nucleotides) under Salmonella enterica. RNAcentral's name for it is "partial 23S ribosomal RNA". It matches the Rfam family "Bacterial large subunit ribosomal RNA", at positions 237 to 559 of the family's 2925-position model. The record is from RNAcentral. RNAcentral also lists the same sequence under 2 other names. Lineage: Bacteria; Pseudomonadati; Pseudomonadota; Gammaproteobacteria; Enterobacterales; Enterobacteriaceae.